RNA transcript from Andrographis paniculata, 2447 nucleotides. It is a transcript of the gene named GATA transcription factor 8-like, with no coding region annotated. Lineage: Eukaryota; Viridiplantae; Streptophyta; Magnoliopsida; Lamiales; Acanthaceae. The transcript has 5 exons. The record is from RefSeq and is a predicted model, not a curated record.
UCACCUACCGAUACCAUACUUCUUUUUUAGCUCUCUCUCUGCAUUCUUACUUCAUUCUCACUCACUCACUCAUUCCCCAAUUUUCUUUCUUUCUGUAUUCUCUUUCUUCUUCUUCUUUUGAUUUGAUUUUCUGAAGCAAAAAUAAAUCGCAGGAAGAAUUAAUUUAAGAGUGCUGAAGGGUUUGAGAAGAUUGAGAAGAAAGGGAGGGAAUUUGAUGGAUGAGAGUGAUCAGUUAUACGAUCAAAUUGACGACUUCAUCAUCGAAUUCCCUCUCGACUGUAAUGGCCAUUUAGCAAACUCCGAUGAGAGCCACAAAGAUGAUGAUAUCCCCACCCUGCAGUGGAGUACUAAUGAGGAACCUCUUCUCAUCUCCCAUGACAAUGACCUCGAAUUCUCAGUCCCGUACGAGGAUGUCGCCGAGCUGGAGUGGCUUUCGACGUUUGUGGAGGACUCAUACUCCGGCGGAGGGCUGACCAUCGGACAGGACAUUUCGAGCACCAACAUCGAGCCUUUACAUAGCCAAUUCCAAACCUCGAGCCCCGUCUCUGUCCUAGAAAGCAGCAGCACCAGCAGCUCUUGCUCGGCGGAAAAGAUCGCCGCAGCUCAUCGCGGGCCCCAGCGAGCUCGGAGCAAGCGACCCCGCCCGACGACUUUUAACCCAAGGCCACUGAUUCAGCCAUUCAUAGAUUCUCUGCAGAUUCUUACAUCGUCCUCUGAGAUCUCCGAGAAUUUUGGUGAGUCAUCGUGUCUGAAGAACAAGAAGAAAAAGAAGAAGAAGAAGAUUGGGAGCACACCGGGAGUUGGAACGAUGAAUAUAGAGAAAAUGAAGGUGAGCUCGGAAGAGGAGGAUCUUCAGAACCCGCCUCCUCCUGUGCGCAAAUGUCUGCAUUGUGAGAUAACAAAGACUCCCCAAUGGAGAGCUGGUCCUAUGGGCCCGAAAACACUUUGCAAUGCUUGUGGAGUUCGCUACAAAUCCGGACGACUCUUUCCUGAGUACCGACCGGCCGCAAGUCCGACUUUUGUCCCCUCCGUCCACUCAAACUCCCACAAGAAAGUUCUCGAAAUGAGAAACAUCACGGAAAAGCCCGAAUUGGUCUCAAAUGAAUAGUCUCGCUCACUAUAUAUAUAUAUAUGUGUGUGUGGCGUCGACGUACUAUCUUAUUAUAUUCUUGCAGGCUAUUCGAUUUCUUCAUCCUAAGGUUGUCCGGCGGCGGUAGGAGCGAUUCACCGGAGUAUUAAUUAAGGUAGCGGAGAGAGAAGAUUCAGAGGAAAGAAUAGAGUGUAGGAAGAUUAGUGAUAAAAGAUAGUUUUAGGGGUUAGGAGUAAGUGUUGAAACAGAGGUCAAGAGCUUCUUACACUAUGUGUUGUUUUUUUUUCUGGUCAAUUCAUUUCAUUUCCAUAUUUCAUGUGAAAUUUUUUUUGCAGUUGAUUCUUCCUUGUAGGGAUUUUCUAAGUUGAUUCAUCCUUGUGGGGAUUUUCUAAGGUAAUGAAUUGGUUCCAUAUUUUCUUACUCCUUACCUCAGAACAUAUUUGUUUUAGAGUUGUGUUUAGGGGUGUAAACAAGUCCAGUCUAAUAUGUAUUUAUUUCUAUUUCUAGCUUGAUGAGCCAAGCCUAAUAGCUUUAACAAUAUAUUGUUUAUUUAUAAUUUGAAAUUAAUUUGAAAUGAAAUGUUAGAUUUAAAUUUUUUUUAUAAAUAGUACUUUGAUAUGAUGUGUUUUAUAAGAAAAAUAAUACUAUCUCUGUCCGGUUCUAAACUUCAUAUUUACCUUUUUCGCCUACUGCCCAAAAAGUAAAUAGGAUCAUUAGAAAUUGUGUUGUGUUGAUGAUAAAAUGAUAAUUGAAAAUGAUAAAAGGACCAAAAACUAGUUGUGUUGUGUUGAUGAUAAAAUGUAGAAAUUGCAGUGAUAGAUUAUGCAGUUUAGAUGCUAAUAAAAUAAAAUGAAUAGCUAUGCUAAUUUAUUAUAAACUCCCAUGGACUACAUGUAAAGCAUCUCAUCUGUUAAAUUUCAUGUCAAAAAUUUCGUCAAGACGCAAUUUCUUCGCAUCAUAAAUAACUAUGUUCGUACUGCCUGUCCCAAAAAACAUUGAAUCAUUGCAGAUAAAUAAUAACACAACUAUCCCAAAAAACAUUGAAUCAUCGCAGAUAAAUAAUAACACAACUAUUUUUUAUUCAACGAGCGCUUCCACAAGAAUAAGGUCGAACUUGGUAGGCUUAGAUAGAGAUCGGUAAACUCAUCAAAAAUGUUAAUGUGUAGGGAGAUGUGGACUUUCCGAAGAGGGAACACCAUGCAGGGAGCUUCUCAAGAACACUUCUCAUGGGAGGUGUUAUUCUGUCGACAUCCGUUCUAAGUCUCAGAAGAAGAUUGUUUGGUGUUGUCUGGGUACUGUUUUUGAACCAGAACAGGGAGAAUUUAAACUUGGUCGGCGAUUUCUUACCACCUGCAAA